AUGCCUUUUGGGGUAACUAAUGCCCCUAGUACUUUCAUGAGAUUAACGAACGAAGUUUUACGUGCUUUCAUUGGACGAUUUGUGGUAGUUUACUUUGAUGACAUAUUGAUUUAUAGCAGAUCUUUGGAAGAACAUUUGGAACAUUUACGUGCUAUUUUUAUUGCUCUACGUGCUGCACGUUUGUUUGGUAACCUUGGGAAGUGCACCUUUUGCACCGACCAAGUAUCUUUUCUUGGCUAUGUCGUUACUCCACAGGGAAUUGAAGUUGACAGAGCCAAGAUUGAAGCUAUUGAGAGUUGGCCGCAGCCCAAAACGGUCACACAAGUGAGGAGUUUUCUUGGCCUCGCU
This 348-nucleotide ribosomal RNA is filed under the name Triticum aestivum (bread wheat). RNAcentral describes it as "partial small subunit ribosomal RNA". Lineage: Eukaryota; Viridiplantae; Streptophyta; Magnoliopsida; Poales; Poaceae. The record is from RNAcentral.